Molecule: ribosomal RNA, 459 nt
Filed under: uncultured bacterium
Lineage: Bacteria
Description: partial 16S ribosomal RNA
Rfam family: Bacterial small subunit ribosomal RNA
Source: RNAcentral
CCUACGGGUGGCAGCAGUGAGGAAUAUUGGUCAAUGGUCGUAAGACUGAACCAGCCAAGUAGCGUGCAGGAUGACGGCCCUAUGGGUUGUAAACUGCUUUUAUGCGGGGAUAAAAUGCGUCACGUGUGAUGUUUUGUAGGUACCGCAUGAAUAAGGACCGGCUAAUUCCGUGCCAGCAGCCGCGGUAAUACGGAGGAUGCGAGCGUUAUCCGGAUUUAUUGGGUUUAAAGGGUGCGUAGGCGGAAGGUUAAGUCAGCGGUCAAAUGUCGGUGCUCAACACCGGCCUGCCGUUGAAACUGGUCUUCUUGAGUGAGCGAGAAGUAUGCGGAAUGCGUGGUGUAGCGGUGAAAUGCAUAGAUAUCACGCAGAACUCCGAUUGCGAAGGCAGCAUACCGGCGCUCAACUGACGCUGAGGCACGAAAGCGUGGGGAUCGAACAGGAUUAGAUACCCGGGUAGUC